Molecule: long non-coding RNA, 1024 nt
Filed under: Androctonus crassicauda
Lineage: Eukaryota; Metazoa; Arthropoda; Arachnida; Scorpiones; Buthidae
Source: RNAcentral
UGCAAUGAAAUAUAAAAAUAAAAUACCAUAUGGUAUUAAUAUACUGUUUGAUGCCAGCCAUUUCAGAUCGUUCUAUAUCAGUUUCCAAACAGUGAAAAUUUUAGAUAUUGUUGUCAGUAUAUUUUGGGGACAGCAGUACAUUAUAGUGGAGUAUACUUGUACUAUGGAUUCAUCCUCAUUUAGGACUGUAACUUAUUUCACUUUCUUUUAAUGGCCAAUUGAAGUGUUUAUUUAUUAUGUCAUUCAAUUCACAUUAACAUUUAUAUUUUUCAGUCUCAUUUAAAUCAUCUACAGGAACAUAUAGAGGAAUCAAAAAGACCUGCAAUCUCGGUUUCAUCCUUGCCUAUAUAAUUCUAUUAGUCACACAUUUAUACAUUAAUAUGCACUUUUUUAUUCUGUCAUUCAUUAGCACAUCCAUAUCAUCUUUCGUUCACAAUCUCCCACUCCAGAUCAAAUUCUAGUGUGUUCUUCUUCACAUAAUCAAAUGCAUAUCUCUUUCAAGGCAUCACAUUCAGCUUAUAUUUUCAUAUCUAAUAGACUCUCGUACAUUCUUUUUAUCCAUUCAUUCGUUUUCCACAUAUCCAAUAUCUGUUCACACUUCUAUUUCCAUAUUCAUUGCCUAUUAUCCAGACUAGUUGUAUCAUGUUUGACAUUUCAGUUUUAUUUAUGCUUUGAAAUUCCAGAUAAAAUUUGCUAUGCUAGUGAUAGUCUCUACCAAACUAUGGUAUAAUUUGGUAGAGGUUUUGCCUUGUUGAGAAUUCAGAUGAUCUCUGAUGCCAUUUCAUCUAAUUCGGAUUUCUGAUUAUUAUGGCCUAUUUAGACUACUAAUAACCAAAAAGAUCAAUGGAGUACACAAUUCUUUUGUCAUAGAAAGGCAUGAGCCAAAGGAUGAUAUAGUAAUUUUCUGUAUUUCAUAAUCAGUUUGAAAAAACCCCAUUUAUUUGUAUUCCUUUGUGUUGUUAUUGUUUUCCCUAAAGCCUUGUACAUUUUCAUAUACAUCUAAUAUCAUUUUCCAAUUGUAUCC